UACGGAGGGUGCGAGCGUUAAUCGGAAUUACUGGGCGUAAAGCGUGCGCAGGCGGCUAUGCAAGACAGAUGUGAAAUCCCCGGGCUCAACCUGGGAACUGCAUUUGUGACUGCAAGGCUAGAGUACGGCAGAGGGGGAUGGAAUUCCGCGUGUAGCAGUGAAAUGCGUAGAUAUGCGGAGGAACACCAAUGGCGAAGGCAAUCCCCUGGGCCUGUACUGACGCUCAUGCACGAAAGCGUGGGGAGCAAACAGG
Molecule: ribosomal RNA, 253 nt
Filed under: uncultured bacterium
Lineage: Bacteria
Description: partial 16S ribosomal RNA
Rfam family: Bacterial small subunit ribosomal RNA
Source: RNAcentral